This 495-nucleotide ribosomal RNA is filed under the name uncultured bacterium. RNAcentral describes it as "partial 16S ribosomal RNA". It matches the Rfam family "Bacterial small subunit ribosomal RNA", at positions 28 to 507 of the family's 1533-position model. The record is from RNAcentral.
GACGAACGCUGGCGGCGUGCCUAAUACAUGCAAGUAGAACGCUGAAGGAGGAGCUUGCUUCUCGGGAUGAGUUGCGAACGGGUGAGUAACGCGUAGGUAACCUGCCUGGUAGCGGGGGAUAACUAUUGGAAACGAUAGCUAAUACCGCAUAAGAGUAGAUGUUGCAUGACAUUUGCUUAAAAGGUGCAAUUGCAUCACUACCAGAUGGACCUGCGUUGUAUUAGCUAGUUGGUGAGGUAACGGCUCACCAAGGCGACGAUACAUAGCCGACCUGAGAGGGUGAUCGGCCACACUGGGACUGAGACACGGCCCAGACUCCUACGGGAGGCAGCAGUAGGGAAUCUUCGGCAAUGGACGGAAGUCUGAACAAGCAACGCCGCGUGAGUGAAGAAGGUUUUCGGAUCGUAAAGCUCUGUUGUAAGAGAAGAACGAGUGUGAGAGUGGAAAGUUCACACUGUGACGGUAUCUUACCAGAAAGGGACGGCUAACUACGUG